RNAcentral lists this ribosomal RNA (440 nucleotides) under uncultured bacterium. Its description in RNAcentral is "bacterial SSU rRNA". It matches the Rfam family "Bacterial small subunit ribosomal RNA", at positions 338 to 795 of the family's 1533-position model. The record is from RNAcentral.
CCUACGGGUCGCAGCAGUGGGGAAUAUUGGACAAUGGGCGAAAGCCUGAUCCAGCAAUGCCGCGUGUGUGAAGAAGGUCUUCGGAUUGUAAAGCACUUUCGACGGGGACGAUGAUGACGGUACCCGUAGAAGAAGCCCCGGCCAACUUCGUGCCAGCAGCCGCGGUAAUACGAAGGGGGCUAGCGUUGCUCGGAAUGACUGGGCGUAAAGGGCGCGUAGGCGGUUUAUGCAGUCAGAUGUGAAAUCCCCGGGCUUAACCUGGGAACUGCAUCUGAUACUGGCAAGCUUGAGUCUCGUAGAGGGGGGUAGAAUUCCAGGUGUAGCGGUGAAAUUCGUAGAUAUUGGGAAGAACACCGGUGGCGAAGGCAGCAACCUGGCUCGAUACUGACGCUGAGGCGCGAAAGCGUGGGGAGCAAACAGGAUUAGAUACCCGGGUAGUC